AGUGAACGCUGGCGGUAGGCCUAACACAUGCAAGUCGAACGGCAGCACAGUAAGAGCUUGCUCUUACGGGUGGCGAGUGGCGGACGGGUGAGGAAUACAUCGGAAUCUACUUUUUCGUGGGGGAUAACGUAGGGAAACUUACGCUAAUACCGCAUACGACCUACGGGUGAAAGCAGCGGAUCUUCGGACCUUGCGCGAUUGAAUGAGCCGAUGUCGGAUUAGCUAGUUGGCGGGGUAAAGGCCCACCAAGGCGACGAUCCGUAGCUGGUCUGAGAGGAUGAUCAGCCACACUGGAACGGAGACACGGUCCAGACUCCUACGGGAGGCAGCAGUGGGGAAUAUUGGACAAUGGGCGCAAGCCUGAUCCAGCCAUACCGCGUGGGUGAAGAAGGCCUUCGGGUUGGAAAGCCCUUUUGUUGGGAAAGAAAAGCAGCAGGUUAAUACCCCGCUGUUCUGACGGUACCCAAAGAAUAAGCACCGGCUAACUUCGUG
RNAcentral lists this ribosomal RNA (492 nucleotides) under uncultured bacterium. RNAcentral describes it as "partial 16S ribosomal RNA". It matches the Rfam family "Bacterial small subunit ribosomal RNA", at positions 29 to 507 of the family's 1533-position model. The record is from RNAcentral.